Molecule: ribosomal RNA, 142 nt
Filed under: uncultured eukaryote
Lineage: Eukaryota
Description: partial 18S ribosomal RNA
Rfam family: Eukaryotic small subunit ribosomal RNA
Source: RNAcentral
UGGUGGAGUGAUUUGUCUGGUUAAUUCCGUUAACGAACGAGACCUCGACCUGCUAAAUAGUUGACCGAACCGCUCGCGGUUCGCGUCUAACUUCUUAGAGGGACUAUUGGUGUUUAGCCAAUGGAAGUUCGAGGCAAUAACA